RNAcentral lists this ribosomal RNA (610 nucleotides) under Limnobacter sp. Its description in RNAcentral is "bacterial SSU rRNA". It matches the Rfam family "Bacterial small subunit ribosomal RNA", at positions 39 to 644 of the family's 1533-position model. Lineage: Bacteria; Pseudomonadati; Pseudomonadota; Betaproteobacteria; Burkholderiales; Burkholderiaceae. The record is from RNAcentral.
AUGGGGUGGACUUACCAUGCAAGUCGAACGGUAACAGGGAGCUUGCUCCGCUGACGAGUGGCGAACGGGUGAGUAAUACAUCGGAACGUGCCCAGUAAUGGGGGAUAGCUCGGCGAAAGCCGGAUUAAUACCGCAUACGCCCUGAGGGGGAAAGUGGGGGACCGCAAGGCCUCACGUUAUUGGAGCGGCCGAUGGCUGAUUAGCUAGUUGGUAGGGUAAAGGCCUACCAAGGCGACGAUCAGUAGCUGGUCUGAGAGGACGAUCAGCCACACUGGGACUGAGACACGGCCCAGACUCCUACGGGAGGCAGCAGUGGGGAAUUUUGGACAAUGGGGGAAACCCUGAUCCAGCAAUGCCGCGUGUGCGAAGAAGGCCUUCGGGUUGUAAAGCACUUUUGUCAGGGAAGAAAUCCUUUGGGCUAAUACCCUAGGGGGAUGACGGUACCUGAAGAAUAAGCACCGGCUAACUACGUGCCAGCAGCCGCGGUAAUACGUAGGGUGCAAGCGUUAAUCGGAAUUACUGGGCGUAAAGCGUGCGCAGGCGGUUGUGUAAGACAGGUGUGAAAUCCCCGGGCUUAACCUGGGAAUUGCAUUUGUGACUGCACGACUAG